AUGAACGCUGGCGGCGUGCCUAAUACAUGCAAGUCGAGCGAACAGACGAGGAGCUUGCUCCUCUGACGUUAGCGGCGGACGGGUGAGUAACACGUGGAUAACCUACCUAUAAGACUGGGAUAACUUCGGGAAACCUGAGCUAAUACCGGAUAAUAUAUUGAACCGCAUGGUUCAAUAGUGAAAGACGGUUUUGCUGUCACUUAUAGAUGGAUCCGCGCCGCAUUAGCUAGUUGGUAAGGUAACGGCUUACCAAGGCAACGAUGCGUAGCCGACCUGAGAGGGUGAUCGGCCACACUGGAACUGAGACACGGUCCAGACUCCUACGGGAGGCAGCAGUAGGGAAUCUUCCGCAAUGGGCGAAAGCCUGACGGAGCAACGCCGCGUGAGUGAUGAAGGUCUUCGGAUCGUAAAACUCUGUUAUUAGGGAAGAACAAAUGUGUAAGUAACUAUGCACGUCUUGACGGUACCUAAUCAGAAAGCCACGGCUAACUACGUG
This 496-nucleotide ribosomal RNA is filed under the name uncultured bacterium. RNAcentral describes it as "partial 16S ribosomal RNA". It matches the Rfam family "Bacterial small subunit ribosomal RNA", at positions 29 to 507 of the family's 1533-position model. The record is from RNAcentral.